RNAcentral lists this ribosomal RNA (497 nucleotides) under uncultured bacterium. RNAcentral describes it as "partial 16S ribosomal RNA". It matches the Rfam family "Bacterial small subunit ribosomal RNA", at positions 28 to 507 of the family's 1533-position model. The record is from RNAcentral.
GAUGAACGCUGGCGGCGUGCCUAAUACAUGCAAGUCGAGCGAACAGACGAGGAGCUUGCUCCUCUGACGUUAGCGGCGGACGGGUGAGUAACACGUGGAUAACCUACCUAUAAGACUGGGAUAACUUCGGGAAACCGGAGCUAAUACCGGAUAAUAUAUUGAACCGCAUGGUUCAAUAGUGAAAGACGGUUUUGCUGUCACUUAUAGAUGGAUCCGCGCCGCAUUAGCUAGUUGGUAAGGUAACGGCUUACCAAGGCGACGAUGCGUAGCCGACCUGAGAGGGUGGUCGGCCACACUGGAACUGAGACACGGUCCAGACUCCUACGAGAGGCAGCAGUAGGGAAUCUUCCGCAAUGGGCGAAAGCCUGACGGAGCAACGCCGCGUGAGUGAUGAAAGUCUUCGGAUCGUAAAACUCUGUUAUUAGGGAAGAACAAAUGUGUAAGUAACUAUGCACGUCUUGACGGUACCUAAUCAGAAAGCCACGGCUAACUACGUG